CCUACGGGUGGCAGCAGUGAGGAAUAUUGGUCAAUGGACGAGAGUCUGAACCAGCCAUGCCGCGUGAAGGUCAGUGCCCUAUGGGCGUUAAACUUCUUUUGUGCGGGAGCAAUAAUGGUCACGUGUGGCCAGACGAGAGUACCGUACGAAUAAGCAUCGGCUAACUCCGUGCCAGCAGCCGCGGUAAUACGGGGGGUGCAAGCGUUAGCAGGAUUGAUUGGGUUUAAAGGGUGCGUAGGCUGUGAGGUAAGUCAGCGGUGAAAUGCCCCGGCUCAACGGGGUGAAGUGCCAUUGAUACUGGCUUGCUUGAAUGCGGAUGCGGUGGGAGGAAUGUGUGGUGUAGCGGUGAAAUGCAUAGAUAUCACACAGAACACCGAUUGCGAAGGCAUCUCACGAAUCCGCGAUUGACGCUGAUGCACGAAAGCGUGGGUAUCAAACAGGAUUAGAUACCCCAGUAGUC
RNAcentral lists this ribosomal RNA (460 nucleotides) under uncultured bacterium. RNAcentral's name for it is "partial 16S ribosomal RNA". It matches the Rfam family "Bacterial small subunit ribosomal RNA", at positions 338 to 795 of the family's 1533-position model. The record is from RNAcentral.